RNAcentral lists this long non-coding RNA (841 nucleotides) under Scleropages formosus (Asian bonytongue). RNAcentral describes it as "lncRNA (ENSSFOG00015032029.1)". The record is from RNAcentral. Lineage: Eukaryota; Metazoa; Chordata; Actinopteri; Osteoglossiformes; Osteoglossidae.
UUGCCACAUUCAACCUCUCCCUCGACCUUCUAAGGCCCAGUUCCUCUCUUGUGGGCUCAAUUCACCUACAGUUUUCUAGAAGAUAACUUCUUCCAUAAAUGGCUUCUCUUAAAGUGAUGAAAGAUGACAGAAGUGGAGGUGAGGGGCACACACAUGGCAGGUUGCUGAGUGGACAAUGUGAGGUGAAGUGAGGGCGACAAGUGCUGGAGGGGCAGGGGUUUGCUGGGCAUGACCCGCCAGCACCUGGUAAUUAAAAUUGCUAAUGAGAAGCAAUUACGCUGCCAGGCUUCCUCUGGCUGGCUGCGCAGUUUGACCCUUCCACGGGAAGAAAGAAGAAGAAGAAGAAGAAGAAGAAGAGAAAAUGCCGGCUAUCUCGCGACCAAGGCAGCGCUGAGGAGACCCCGCCCUCCGCGGCACGCGGGAAAUACGAAGGAAAGGACUUAAGGACCGAGUAAGUGUGUGUGUGUGUGUGUGUGAGAGGACGAGAAAUUGGUAUGUAUUCCCAUCUCUCGUCGCUUUGUUUUAAUGUAAAAUUCUCUCCUUAUGGUCAUUUUCUUUGUGAGCAGGGUGUGAAGUUCAGCAGGAGCAACCUGCCGGCCGGAGACGUGGGCCUUGUGUCACCAGCAGACCGGGGACUGGAAGGGCGGAAGCCUCAGAAACCCAGAAGGAACUUGAAGUUUUUGGGCUCAAGGCAAAACCCGAGACUCCCCUGUGUACCCUCUCAACUCCCUACACCCAAAUGAUUGCUGAACAGAACUGGACCUGGAAAAGGAGAAAGCAUGGUUGUAACUCUUGUAAGUAAAUAUCUUUGCUAAGGUGCGAAAAAUAGCCCUAGCAGCAU